RNAcentral lists this ribosomal RNA (467 nucleotides) under uncultured bacterium. Its description in RNAcentral is "partial 16S ribosomal RNA". It matches the Rfam family "Bacterial small subunit ribosomal RNA", at positions 29 to 507 of the family's 1533-position model. The record is from RNAcentral.
ACGAACGCUGGCGGCGUGCUUAACACAUGCAAGUCGAACGGAAAGGCCCUGCUUUUGUGGGGUGCUCGAGUGGCGAACGGGUGAGUAACACGUGAGUAACCUGCCCUUGACUUUGGGAUAACUUCAGGAAACUGGGGCUAAUACCGGAUAGGAGCUCCUGCUGCAUGGUGGGGGUUGGAAAGUUUCGGCGGUUGGGGAUGGACUCGCGGCUUAUCAGCUUGUUGGUGGGGUAGUGGCUUACCAAGGCUUUGACGGGUAGCCGGCCUGAGAGGGUGACCGGCCACAUUGGGACUGAGAUAGGGCCCAGACUCCUACGGGAGGCAGAAGUGGGGAAUAUUGCACAAUGGGCGGAAGCCUGAUGCAGCAACGCCGCGUGCGGGAUGACGGCCUUCGGGUUGUAAACCGCUUUAGCCUGUGACGAAGCGUGAGUGACGGUAAUGGGUAAAGAAGCACCGGCUAACUACGUG